GACGAACGCUGGCGGCGUGCUUAACACAUGCAAGUCGAACGGAAAGUCCCUGCUUUUGUUGGGUGCUCGAGUGGCGAACGGGUGAGUAACACGUUAGUAACCUGCCCUUGACUUUGGGAUAACUUCAGGUAACUGGGGCUAAUUCCGGCUCGGAGCUUCUGCUGCAUGGUGGGGGUUGGAAAGUUUCGGCGGUUGGGGAUGGACUCGCGGCUUUUCAGCUUGUUGGUGGGGUAGUUGCUUACCUAGGCUUUGACGGGUAGCCGGGCUGAGAGGGUGACCGGACAGAUGAGGGCAGAGAAGCGACCGGUACUCCUACGGGAGUCAACAGUGGGUAAUAUUGUACAAUGGGGGGAAGACUAAUGCAGCAACGCCGCGUGCGAGAUGACGAGAAUCGGGUUGUAAACCGCAUUAGCCGGUGACGAAGCGUGAGUGGCGGUAAUGGGUAAAGAGGCACCGGCUAACUACGUG
This 468-nucleotide ribosomal RNA is filed under the name uncultured bacterium. Its description in RNAcentral is "partial 16S ribosomal RNA". It matches the Rfam family "Bacterial small subunit ribosomal RNA", at positions 28 to 507 of the family's 1533-position model. The record is from RNAcentral.